CUUCCGUAGGGUGAACCUGCGGAAGGAUCAUUAAAGAUUGACCGAAAGGUCUUAUCUCUAUAUCCCUCACCUCUGUGAACUGUGGACCUCCGGGUCUAUUUAACAAACAUCAGUGUAAUGAACGUAUAUAUCAUUAAACAAAACAAAACUUUCAACAACGGAUCUCUUGGCUCUCGCAUCGAUGAAGAACGCAGCGAAAUGCGAUAAGUAAUGUGAAUUGCAGAAUUCAGUGAAUCAUCGAAUCUUUGAACGCACCUUGCGCCUUUUGGUAUUCCGAAAGGCAUGCCUGUUUGAGUGUCAUGAAAUCUCAAUCCCCCUGGGUUUAUGAUCUGGGUCGGACUUGGAUAUGGGCGUCUGCCGGUCACACGGCUCGCCUCAAAUGACUUAGUGGAUCUCUCUGCAUCCGUGACAGACGUAAUAAGUUUCGUCUUGUCCCUUGCUUAUGAGUCUGCUCAUAACCUGCCAUCGCGCACUUUUAGACUCUGACCUCAAAUCAGGUAGGACUACCCGCUGAACUUAAGCAUAUCAAUAAGCGGAGGAA
RNAcentral lists this ribosomal RNA (541 nucleotides) under Papiliotrema laurentii. RNAcentral describes it as "partial 18S ribosomal RNA". The stretch from base 147 to 300 matches the Rfam family "5.8S ribosomal RNA". The record is from RNAcentral. Lineage: Eukaryota; Fungi; Basidiomycota; Tremellomycetes; Tremellales; Rhynchogastremaceae.